UCCUACGGGAGGCAGCAGUGGGGAAUUUUGGACAAUGGGCGAAAGCGUGAUCCAGCAAUGCCGCGUGAGUGAAGACGGCCUUCGGGUUGUAAAGCUCUUAUGUCAGGGAAGAAACGGUGUGGGCUAAUAUCCCGUGCUAAUGACGGUACCCGAAGAAUAAGCCCCGGCUAAAUACGUGCCAGCAGCCGCGGUAAUAUGUAGGGGGCAAGCGUUUUUCGGAAUUUCUGGGCGUAAAGCGUGCGCAGGCGGUUUUGUAAGUCUGUCGUGAAAUCCCCGGGCUCAACCUGGGAAUUGCGAUGGAGACUGCAAGGCUAGAAUGUGGCAGAGGGGGGUAGAAUUCCACGUGUAGCAGUGAAAUGCGUAGAGAUGUGGAGGAACACCGAUGGCGAAGGCAGCCCCCUGGGUCAAGAUUGACGCUCAUGCACGAAAGCGUGGGGAGCAAACAGGAUUAGAUACCCUGGUAGUCCACGCCCUAAACGAUGUGUAAUAGUUGUCGGGUUUUAAUUAACCGGUAACGCAGCUAACGC
Molecule: ribosomal RNA, 527 nt
Filed under: uncultured Massilia sp.
Lineage: Bacteria; Pseudomonadati; Pseudomonadota; Betaproteobacteria; Burkholderiales; Oxalobacteraceae
Description: bacterial SSU rRNA
Rfam family: Bacterial small subunit ribosomal RNA
Source: RNAcentral